Molecule: long non-coding RNA, 202 nt
Filed under: Vigna radiata
Lineage: Eukaryota; Viridiplantae; Streptophyta; Magnoliopsida; Fabales; Fabaceae
Description: long non-coding RNA (VRAD_LNC007680)
Source: RNAcentral
GCCUAGUUAUGAUGAUCUGCUUAAGGUUCUAUUUGGACCAUUCAUUUUGGUGAUCGAUCGUUCAAUCUGUUGUUGGUUGUCUAGUCUGGUGAUUUGUCGUCGACUUGGUAGUUGAUUGUUCGACUUGAUAGUUGGUUGUUCGACUUGAUAACAAUCGUUUGAUAUGUUACAUGUCCAUAUGAGUUGACAUCCUGCAGUCCGA